Suricata suricatta (meerkat) is the source of this 397-nucleotide long non-coding RNA. RefSeq lists it as uncharacterized. The record is from RefSeq and is a predicted model, not a curated record. The transcript has 4 exons. NCBI's taxonomy places the organism in Eukaryota, Metazoa, Chordata, Mammalia, Carnivora, Herpestidae.
UGGUGUAUGAGAACAUGACCUUAUUCUUAGGAAAUAUAUACUGAAAUAUGGAAGAAUGGACUGUCAUGAUAGCUGCAAGUUUCAAGUGAUUCAGCAAAAGAUACAAUUAUAUAGAAGAAGAGGGAUUAGUAUGAUCCAAGGAUGUGUCAGUCAGUUUCACCUGGGUGGAGGGACAGUGGCUGGACUCAGCUUAGAAGGUCCUGUAUAGGGGAUGUGAUGCUGGAGACCUACAGCAAACUGGUUUCAGUGGGUGUCUUACAACCAAACCAGAUGUGAUCUCCCAGGUGGAACGAGGAGAAGAACCAUGGAUAAUAGAGGUGGCAUUCUCAAGCCAGAGCCUUCCAGCUGUACAUUCCGCCUUUGCUGUACUUCCCCAAAAGGAAAAGAACAAAUCCCA